GUGCUCGCUUCAGCAGCACAUAUACUAAAAUAGGAACGAUACAGAGAUUAGCAUGGCCCCUGCUCAAGGAUGACAUGCAAAUUUUGAAUGAUAGACCUGUUGAAU
Small nuclear RNA from Pipistrellus kuhlii (Kuhl's pipistrelle), 105 nucleotides. NCBI's taxonomy places the organism in Eukaryota, Metazoa, Chordata, Mammalia, Chiroptera, Vespertilionidae. The record is from RefSeq and is a predicted model, not a curated record.